GCGAUCCCAGGUCAGGCGGGGCUACCCGCUGAGUUUAAGCAUAUCAAUAAGCGGA
This 55-nucleotide ribosomal RNA is filed under the name Miconia subciliata. RNAcentral describes it as "Tococa subciliata partial 26S ribosomal RNA". The record is from RNAcentral. Lineage: Eukaryota; Viridiplantae; Streptophyta; Magnoliopsida; Myrtales; Melastomataceae.